This 460-nucleotide ribosomal RNA is filed under the name uncultured bacterium. RNAcentral describes it as "partial 16S ribosomal RNA". It matches the Rfam family "Bacterial small subunit ribosomal RNA", at positions 338 to 795 of the family's 1533-position model. The record is from RNAcentral.
CCUACGUGUGACAGCAGUGAGGAAUAUUGGUCAAUGGGCGCGAGCCUGAACCAGCCAAGUAGCGUGAAGGAUGACUGCCCUACGGGUUGUAAACUUCUUUUAUAAAGGAAUAAAGUGAGGCACGUGUGCCUUUUUGUAUGUACUUUAUGAAUAAGGAUCGGCUAACUCCGUGCCAGCAGCCGCGGUAAUACGGAGGAUCCGGGCGUUAUCCGGAUUUAUUGGGUUUAAAGGGAGCGUAGAUGGGUUGUUAAGUCAGUUGUGAAAGUUUGCGGCUCAACCGUAAAAUUGCAAUUGAUACUGGCAGUCUUGAGUACAGUUGAGGUAGGCGGAAUUCGUGGUGUAGCGGUGAAAUGCUUAGAUAUCACGAAGAACUCCGAUUGCGAAGGCAGCUUACUAAACUGCCACUGACAUUGAUGCUCGAAAGUGUGGGUAUCAAACAGGAUUAGAUACCCCAGUAGUC